This is a non-coding RNA of Ceratotherium simum simum (southern white rhinoceros), 233 nucleotides long. The record is from RefSeq and is a predicted model, not a curated record. Lineage: Eukaryota; Metazoa; Chordata; Mammalia; Perissodactyla; Rhinocerotidae.
GCGGGCGCGGGACAGUAUACGGAAUCCUGCGCUCCCAGGUGUCUGUUCCCACGUGGGAGCGUGUGGCCUGUAGACUGGUGCCAGCCCACAAACUGCUUGUUACCAGUCUGCAAAGACAUAAGGAAAUUGAGAAUAUGACCUCUCAGUUGGAGGAAGGUGAAGUUGAAGAUCAUUAUAUAAUGGAGAAUGAACUCCAAAGGAAUCAGCUAAGCAUCAUGGCAAAUUGCAAGCCA